Molecule: non-coding RNA, 1330 nt
Organism: Manis javanica (Malayan pangolin)
Lineage: Eukaryota; Metazoa; Chordata; Mammalia; Pholidota; Manidae
Source: RefSeq, a predicted model, not a curated record
AGGCCAGGUCACCCGCUUAGGGGAAGUGCAUUCUCAGCAUGAAGUGACCUCAUCUUCUGGGGAUGAACAGGGCCCAUGUGACAGAGUACCUGAUUGGUGCUGUCCAGAAAAUUCCAGAUUGAUUAUUAAAAGGUCACAUUCCCGGGACAGGUUUGCAAUUGUAAGCAAGCCUUGUUUGGGGGUGCAAAUUCCUCCAUUUGGGGCUUGUCUCUUUUUCUCCACACUGCACUCUGCCUGGCCCAUCUCCCAGAGGUUGUGGCGCCACGUGCAAUGGCUUCUGCAGCUGCUCCACCUCGGAGGGCUGGUGUCCUGGCUAGUCAUGACCCCUCAACUCCCCCUCCCAGGGACGGAGAACUGUUCUUGUAAGGCCUGGUGGCUCUCCACAUCCUGCACGGAAGACAGGCUGAUGGCCAGGCGACUGGGCGUUCCCCUGCACAGCGGCGCUGGCUCGGUGAGGCCCCACCCACAGCUCGCUUUCCUUCUUCACUGGCUCACCUCUUUCCCCCUCUUGUUGGGCUGACACUCAGCAAUAAAGCCUUAGCAAGCGAGCUAAGACUCCCCAGCACACGGGAAUACCAUCCUGCUGUCAACAGGAUGACGUGACACCUCGUACCCACUGGGAUGAAAGACUCCAGGAGUCAAGUAAUAACAGGGAUGGACAAGGGCAUUGAGAAAUCAGAGCUCUCGUGCCCUACUGGUGGGGUUUUGAAAUACUGCAGCUGCCAUGGGAAAUGGCCCAGCAGGGCUGCGGAUGAUCCAAGAGAGUUACCCAGGCCCGGCUGCACUGUUAGCAGCCCCACCCAAGAGCAGGAGAAACACAAGUCUCUGCAGAACUUCCACACAAGCAUCUACAGAAGCACUAUUCAUCACAGCCACAGAUGGAAGACAACACAGCGGUCCCAUCAACUGGCCAAGGAAUAAACAAAACGCAGUAUUUCCGUAUAAUGAGAUACUGUUCAGCCCUAAAGGAAUGAAAUACUGAUACAAGAUACAAUGUGGAUGAACCUGGAAAUAUUAUGCUAACUGAAAGAAACCACUCACAAAAGACCGUGUACUGUCUAAUUCCAUUCACAUGAAACUCCCUAACAGCAAGACCUAAAGAAAGAAAGCCGGUCAGUGGCUGGAGACGGGAGGAUGGUGGGGAUGGGUAAUGGGUGACGGCUAAAGCAUGUGGGAGUUUCUUUUUGGGGUGAUGAAAAUGUUCUAAAAUGAGACUGCUGAUGGAUGCACAGCUCUGUGAAUGCAUCAAAAGCCACUGAAUUGUACACUUUACAUGGGUGAAUUGCUCAGUAUGUGAAGUUUAUCUCAAUAAAGCCAUUAAAAAUGAUGA